UUGUUAAGUCGGCUACUUGGGGAGUACGUCGCAAGGAUGAAACUUAAAGGAAUUGGCGGGGGAGCACCGCAACGGGAGGAGCGUGCGGUUUAAUUGGAUUCAACACCGGAAAACUCACCAAGGGCGACUAUCACAUGAAAGCCAGGCUAACGACCUUGCUUGAUUCUUAGAGAGGUGGUGCAUGGCCGUCGUCAGUUCGUACCGUAAGGCGUUCUCUUAAGUGAGAUAACGAACGAGACCCUCAUCUAUAAUUGCUACUUCACCCUCCGGGGUGGAGGCACAUAAUCGAGAAAAGAAGGCGCUAAGUCAGAGGAAGGAGAGGUCAACGGUAGGUCAGUAUGCCCCGAAUCUCUUGGGCUACACACGCGCUACAAAGGGCGGGACAAUGGGCUACGACGCCGAAAGGCGAAGUCAAUCUCGAAACCCGUCCGUAGUUCGGAUUGAGGCUUGUAACUCAGCCUCAUGAAGCUGGAUUCCGUAGUAAUCGCGAAUCAAAAACUCGCGGUGAAUAU
This 512-nucleotide ribosomal RNA is filed under the name uncultured archaeon. RNAcentral's name for it is "bacterial SSU rRNA". It matches the Rfam family "Archaeal small subunit ribosomal RNA", at positions 812 to 1325 of the family's 1478-position model. The record is from RNAcentral.